GAUGAAGAACCAGCGAAAUGCGAUAAGUAGUGUGAAUUGCAGAAUUCAGUGAAUCAUCGAAUCUUUGAACGCACAUUGCGCCUUCUAGUAUUCUGGGAGGCAUGCCUGUUUGAGCGUCAUUAAACCUCUCUCAAGUAUGAUUACUUGGAUGUGAAGGAAGAGUACCUUAAACUUAAGGAGUGUUCUCCUUUGAAAUUGAUUAGCAGAUGGUAAUGUUAUUAAAUCCCUGAUGUUGUAAGAAAUAACAGUGGUUUUGUAGACUAUUAUCUAGCUUUAAAUUAUAAUUUUUAUUAUGGUUGACCUCAAAUCAGGUAAGGAUACCCGCUGAACUUAAGCAUAUCAAUAAGCGGAGGA
RNAcentral lists this unclassified non-coding RNA (354 nucleotides) under soil metagenome. RNAcentral's name for it is "partial contains 5.8S ribosomal RNA, internal transcribed spacer 2, and large subunit ribosomal RNA". The stretch from base 1 to 119 matches the Rfam family "5.8S ribosomal RNA", at positions 35 to 154 of the family's 154-position model. The record is from RNAcentral.